Molecule: unclassified non-coding RNA, 507 nt
Filed under: Hevea brasiliensis (rubber tree)
Lineage: Eukaryota; Viridiplantae; Streptophyta; Magnoliopsida; Malpighiales; Euphorbiaceae
Source: RNAcentral
GUAACCAUUCCCCCUACGAGCUGAACGCAUGCGCACAAAACGCCUCUCUGGUGCUGUUAAGUAGAACUUCCGGUUCUAAGCUUAUUCACUCUCUAAUCUAUCAGCUAUCGUGUCCGGUUCCGCUAUGGACGCGGCUCCGCUGCUCGUCUACGGCGGAAUCGAGCCCCGGUGGUUCACUUUACCUAUGCGCUAUGCGUCACCGACCAGAAUUACUGUUCGGAAACGAACCAACCGUGUUUUCGCCGUUGCCACCGAGCCGAAACCUUCUCAAACCGGACCCGAUAAAUCAUCGUCACCACAAAAUCUCAAUGGCUCAUCGAGGUCGCCUCCUUCCAAAACUGUUAAUGGAGUUUCCUCAAGAUCUUCGCCGUUGAAACCAGUCAACGGAGCUUCCACAAGGAUCGGUGAAGUUUCACAGGAGAUCAAAAGAGUGAGGGCGCAAAUGGAGGAAAACGAGCAGUUGGCGAUACUAAUGAGAGGACUUCGAGGCCAAAAUUUGAGAGAUGC